UGGCUAAGAAAGAGACAAAAGAGCAUCACAAAGAUGCCCCACCUUUCAAGAAGAAGGCCUUGCCAGUUGAAAAACCAGAAGGUGACGAAGAGAAAGAUUCAGAAAUUGAAGGUGAAUCAAGUGAGGAGGAGAUCACUGCAGGCUACACUGACGACAACAAACAGUGGCUGAAACCUCGGCAGCAAGUGAAGAAGAAGGCUCUUCUAGAACCGUCAGAUGAAGAUGACAGUGAUGACGAUGACGAUGAUGACUGAUGAGCUGCUGCCUGUUGAGAAGGCAGCCAAGAAGCUGCAAAAGAAGCAGAAGAUGGACGAUGCACGAGCCGAAGCUGAACUGCAGACAAACAUAUUGGAAACAGAAAAGUAUGUUCUGCCUAGCGGACAGGAGAUUGAGAAGGAGUCUGUUCAGCCAGCCGAUCUGACACUGGUCCAGCAGCGAAUCAAGGAGGUGCUAGUUGUGUUGGGAGACUUUGUGAAUCGCCGAGAAGAAAACAGAAAGCGCAAGGACUACCUCUCUCAACUGAAGAGUGACUUGUGCACAUAUUACAGCUAUAAUGAGUUUCUAAUGGCACUGUUAAUGCAGUUGUUUCCACUCACUGAGCUGGUGGAAUUUCUUGAAGCAAACGAAGCACAGAGGCCAGUCACAAUCCGAACUAACACACUGAAGACCAGGAGAAGGGAUUUGGCACAGGCUCUUAUCAACAGAGGAGUGAACUUGGAUCCUAUAGGAAAGUGGUCAAAAACAGGACUGGUGAUUUAUGAUUCCCAGGUUCCCGUAGGUGCAACCCCAGAAUAUUUGGCAGGCCACUACAUGAUACAGAGUGGUUCCAGUUUUCUGCCUGUAAUGGCUCUGGCUGCUCAGGAGAAUGAACGAGUGCUGGACAUGUGUGCUGCCCCUGGUGGCAAGACACAGUAUAUCGCUGCCCUGAUGAAGAAUACAGGCAUGCUGUUUGCGAACGAUGCUAACAAGGACCGUAGUCGAGCCGUAGUUGGUAAUCUACACAGGAUGGGCGUCACAAAUUGUGUCGUCUCCAAUCUGGAUGGCCGAAAAUUUCCAAAGGUUAUGACUGGAUUUGACCGUGUUCUGCUUGAUGCACCCUGUAGUGGUACUGGGGUCAUUGCUAAGGAUCCAGCUGUAAAAACAAACAAGGAUUGUAAAGACAUACAGAGGUGUGCACACUUGCAGAAAGAGCUGCUCCUAGCUGCCAUUGAUUGCUGUGAUGCUAAGUCAGCAACAGGUGGCUACAUCGUCUACUCAACUUGCUCUAUAACUGUAGAGGAAAAUGAAUGGGUGAUUGAUUAUGCGCUAAAGAAACGAAAUGUGAAACUGGUACCAACUGGUCUAGACUUUGGGCAGACAGGGUUUGCAAGGUACCGUGAACAUCGUUUCCAUCCGAGCCUGAAGCUGACACGACGAUUCUACCCACACACACAUAACCUUGAUGGCUUCUAUGUGGCCAAGUUUAAGAAGAUCACCAAUACCAACCCUAAACCUAAAGCCAAUGAUGAGGAUGAGCAAGAGGAUGCCACGGAGGUGAUCGCUGAGGAAGUAGAGAGCAGCAGUGGAGACGACGCAGAGUCAACGCCAGCAGGAGGGCAGAGUACAGUAAAAAGUAAACUGAAAACAGGGGAGAAGAAAACGAAAGAGAAGAAAAGAUUGGCUACUGCUCAGACUGGAGCCAAAACGAAAGGCAAAAAGAAAGUAACUACUGCACAGGCUGGAGCAACGAGACCUGGCUCUGUACAGGACAGCCGGAAAGCUAAAGUGUUUAAGAAAGGAGGGCGGUUUAAAGGAAAAGCAGGUGCAAAGCCAAAGAAGUUUGGCACCAAAAAGUGAGCAGAAAUGUUCUGGAACCUUCUUCAACGUAUUUACAAUCGUGAGAAAUAAAGGUGCACAGUGUACAGGAAAGAGGAAUGUUUUAAAUUUUCUUAAUAAGCAUUGGCCUGUUACGUAUGGUUCUCGGAAGGGUUGGCAGACUUAUUGUAAUAGCUGAAAGUUUAAAAGGAUGUCAUACAUGUCCUAUCAUCUCACACUUACAGUCAGUAAGGCAUUAUACUGAUUCAGUUACAAAACUGUAACAAAACAUGUAUUUUCAUUUAUUGUUCACUAUAUCGGUAAAUUAAUUUACUUAAUUUGUUGGCAAGAUAGUCAUGAUAGUUUUAACCAGUAAUACAAUUUAUCACCCAAUAUGCAAAUAUGUUGGCAUUUUUGUAAAUGGUACUCAGAUGUAUGUAAUAUUUUAAUAUAAUAUUAUCUGUCAGCCCUGACGAGUUGCUUAUUAUACUUGUGUAUAAAACAAAAUAAAAUUAGAGUAACUGAAA
RNAcentral lists this unclassified non-coding RNA (2321 nucleotides) under Priapulus caudatus. RNAcentral describes it as "probable 28S rRNA (cytosine-C(5))-methyltransferase, transcript variant X1". The record is from RNAcentral. Lineage: Eukaryota; Metazoa; Priapulida; Priapulimorpha; Priapulimorphida; Priapulidae.